Molecule: unclassified non-coding RNA, 184 nt
Filed under: uncultured Lecanicillium
Lineage: Eukaryota; Fungi; Ascomycota; Sordariomycetes; Hypocreales; Cordycipitaceae
Description: sequence contains ITS1
Source: RNAcentral
CAGAGUUUACAACUCCCAAACCCUUAUGUGAACAUACCAAGAUGUUGCUUCGGCGGACUCGCCCCGGCGUCCGGACGGCCUAGCGCCGCCCGCGGCCCGGACUCAGGCGGCCGCCGGAGACCACCAAACUCUUUUGUAUCAUGAGUAUCUUCUGAAUCCGCCGCAAGGCAAAACAAAUGAAUCA